RNAcentral lists this ribosomal RNA (253 nucleotides) under uncultured bacterium. RNAcentral's name for it is "partial 16S ribosomal RNA". It matches the Rfam family "Bacterial small subunit ribosomal RNA", at positions 524 to 776 of the family's 1533-position model. The record is from RNAcentral.
GACAGAGGAUGCAAGCGUUAUCCGGAAUGAUUGGGCGUAAAGCGUCUGUAGGUGGCUUUUCAAGUCCGCCGUCAAAUCCCAGGGCUCAACCCUGGACAGGCGGUGGAAACUACCAAGCUGGAGUACGGUAGGGGCAGAGGGAAUUUCCGGUGGAGCGGUGAAAUGCGCAGAUAUCAGGAGGAACACCUAUGGCGAAGGCAGCUCGCUGGGACGUGACUGACGCUGAGACGCGAAAGCGUGGGGAGCAAACAGG